Nerophis ophidion (straightnose pipefish) is the source of this 3358-nucleotide RNA transcript. It is a transcript of the gene named SPARC (osteonectin), cwcv and kazal like domains proteoglycan 3, with no coding region annotated. NCBI's taxonomy places the organism in Eukaryota, Metazoa, Chordata, Actinopteri, Syngnathiformes, Syngnathidae. The transcript has 12 exons. The record is from RefSeq and is a predicted model, not a curated record.
GAGAGAGAGAGAGAGAGAGGUGUAUUAGAGUGUUAGUAGCAGACAGAAGACACACACACACACACACACACACACACACACACACACACACACAGUAGAUGAGAUGAGGCUGUGGACGAGCGGACGUUACAAGAUGCUGUGCGUCGCCUUGCUGUGCGCGUGCGCCGUCGGCCGCGUCUCAGCUCGCUCGGACGGCGGAAAUUUCCUGGACGACAAGUGGCUGAGCGGGAGAUGGGAUCAGUUCCGAGAUGAACCUGGAACCUGGACUCCAUCCAAGGCUUUGGACCAAGGUCUCCAUCCCGCCAAUAACCCCUGUUUGAAGGUCAAAUGUGGUCGCCACAAGGUGUGUGUGGCUCAGGACCACAAGAUGGCUACCUGUGUCAGCCAGAGGGGGGUUAGCUUUAAGGAUGCCAGCUUGUACCAGAGUCCCGGGUCAAAGUGCCAACCCUGCCCUGUGGUCCACCCCUCCCCCGUGUGUGGGACUGAUGGACACACCUACUCCACCAGGUGCAAGUUGGACUACCAGGCCUGCAUCAGCGGCAAGAAGAUGGCUGUCAGGUGUGCCAGCAUGUGUCCUUGCCCUCUCACACCUGAAGACAGGACAGUGUGCAGUGAGUCAGAGGUGAAGGAGGUCAUAGGUCGUCUGAAGGACAGGUUCCAGGUGCUGCAUGACAGCAGCAGAGACAGCAAGAGAGACAGAAGCAUGAGAGACAUCAUCAGCAGAGACAGCAGCAGAGACAGCAGCAAGAGAGAGACGGUGGAGGAGAAGAAGAAGAAGUUUGAGGUGGGGGCGUGGCCCGCCUGCAGGGACCCUGUGGGCUGGAUGUUCUCCCACCUGGACACCGACUUGGACCUCCAGCUGGACCUCUCUGAGAUCAGGACUCUGUACUCGGACAGGAAGGAGCCGUGCGCCCACGCCUUCUUCAAGUCAUGUGACACGCACAAGGACGGCUUGAUUGGCGGCUCAGAGUGGUGCAGCUGUUUCCAGCGCUACACAGACUCUCCUUGCAGAGCUCAGCUCGCCGACAUCAAUAGCAAGCACAUCGGGAAGAAGCUGCUGGCAGGCCAGUACCUGCCAUCGUGCGAGGAGGACGGCUACUACCGCGCCCAGCAGUGCCACAGCAGCAGCGGGCAGUGUUGGUGUGUGGAUCGCUAUGGCAACGAGCGGGCCGGCUCACGCACCCACGGCGCCGCCGACUGCGGCGCACCUCUGGAGUCUUCGGGGGAUCCCGGCAGCGGCGACUGGACGAUGGCGGAGGACGAUGAAGACUCGCUGGUCCUCAGCGAGCAGGACGGAGAUGACGACGAGGACGAGGACGACGAUGAUGACGAAUACGUCUUGUAAUUUUAUUUUUUAUUUUUCAAGACAAGCUUGGUCAAAGUGCGUAGGCCAGCCUGUCCACGGUCCUAACAGUCCACAGACUAAAUCAUCAGUGUGGAUGUGGUCACAUGACCCGCCUCCUCUGCUCUCCCGUCUAGACGUAGAUAAGAUAACAUUCUCUUCAUUUCAACUGUAACACAACAACAAUAGGGAUGCAACACAAAAGGCGACACAACUGUAACACACGAAGCUAAAGGUGCAACACAAGAAAGGGAGAGGUGACGUCACAGGAGAUAAAGGGGCAACACAACAAAAGGCGACACAACUGUAACAAAUGAAGCUAAAGGUGCAACACAAGAAAAAGAGAGGUGACGUCACAGGAGAUAAAGGGGCAAAACAAAAAAGGUGACACAACUUUAACACACGAAGCUAAAGGUGCAACACAAGAAAAGGUGAGAGGUGACGUCACAGGAGAUAAAGGGGCACCACAACAAAAUGCGACACAACUGUAACACACGAAGCUAAAGGUGCAACACAAGAAAAGGUGAGAGGUGACGUCACAGGAGAUAAAGGGGCAACACAACAAAAUGCGACACAACUGUAACACACGAAGCUAAAGGUGCAACACAAGAAAAGGUGAGAGGUGACGUCACAGGAGAUAAAGGGGCACCACAACAAAAUGCGACACAACUGUAACACACGAAGCUAAAGGUGCAACACAAGAAAAGGUGAGAGGUGACGUCACAGGAGAUAAAGGGGCAACACAACAAAAUGCGACACAACUGUAACACACGAAGCUAAAGGUGCAACACAAGAAAAGGUGAGAGGUGACGUCACAGGAGAUAAAGGGGCAACACAACAAAAUGCGACACAACUGUAACACACGAAGCUAAAGGUGCAACACAAGAAAAGGUGAGAGGUGACGUCACAGGAGAUAAAGGGGCAACACAACAAAAGGCGACAACUGUAACACACGAAGCUAAAGGUGCAACACAAGAAAAGAAGAGGUGACGUCACAGGAGAUAAAGGGGCAACACAACAAAAGGCGACACAACUGUAACAAAUGAAGCUAAAGGUGCAACACAAGAAAAAGAGAGGUGACGUCACAGGAGAUAAAGGGGCACCACAACAAAAUGCGACACAACUGUAACACACGCAGCUAAAGGUGCAACACAAGAAAAGGUGAGAGGUGACGUCACAGGAGAUAAAGGGGCAACACAACAAAAUGCGACACAACUGUAACACACGAAGCUAAAGGUGCAACACAAGAAAAGGUGAGAGGUGACGUCACAGGAGAUAAAGGGGCAACACAACAAAAGGCGACAACUGUAACACACGAAGCUAAAGGUGCAACACAAGAAAAGAAGAGGUGACGUCACAGGAGAUAAAGGGGCAACACAACAAAAUGCGACACAACUGUAACACACGAAGCUAAAGGUGCAACACAAGAAAAGGUGAGAGGUGACGUCACAGGAGAUAAAGGGGCAACACAACAAAAGGCGACACAACUGUAACAAAUGAAGCUAAAGGUGCAACACAAGAAAAAGAGAGGUGACGUCACAGGAGAUAAAGGGGCAACACAACAAAAUGCGACACAACUGUAACACACGAAGCUAAAGGUGCAACACAAGAAAAGGUGAGAGGUGACGUCACAGGAGAUAAAGGGGCAACACAACAAAAGGCGACAACUGUAACACACGAAGCUAAAGGUGCAACACAAGAAAAGAAGAGGUGACGUCACAGGAGAUAAAGGGGCAACACAACAAAAUGCGACACAACUGUAACACACGAAGCUAAAGGUGCAACACAAGAAAAGGUGAGAGGUGACGUCACAGGAGAUAAAGGGGCAACACAACAAAAGGCGACACAACUGUAACAAAUGAAGCUAAAGGUGCAACACAAGAAAAAGAGAGGUGACGUCACAGGAGAUAAAGGGGCAACACAACAAAAUGCGACACAACUGUAACACACGAAGCUAAAGGUGCAACACAAGAAAAGGUGAGAGGUGACGUCACAGGAGAUAAAGGGGCAACACAA